This 306-nucleotide ribosomal RNA is filed under the name uncultured bacterium. RNAcentral's name for it is "bacterial SSU rRNA". It matches the Rfam family "Bacterial small subunit ribosomal RNA", at positions 28 to 334 of the family's 1533-position model. The record is from RNAcentral.
GACGAACGCUGGCGGCGUGCCUAACACAUGCAAGUCGAACGGAGUAGAGAGCUUCGGUUUUCUGCUUAGUGGCGAACGGGUGAGUAACGCGUGAGGAACCUGCCUCUCAGUGGGGGACAACAGUUGGAAACGACUGCUAAUACCGCAUAAUGUAUUUGGAUCGCAUGGUCUGAAUACCAAAGCUUUAUGUGCUGAGAGAUGGCCUCGCGUCUGAUUAGAUAGUUGGUGAGGUAACGGCUCACCAAGUCGACGAUCAGUAGCCGGUCUGAGAGGAUGAACGCCACAUUGGGCUGAGACACGGCCCAG